GUCUACGGCCAUACCACCCUGAACGCGCCCGAUCUCGUCUGAUCUCGGAAGCUAAGCAGGGUCGGGCCUGGUUAGUACUUGGAUGGGAAAAGUUUUCCACCCCUUUGUCAGAGAUCUUGCAGUCUCCAUGGGAA
RNAcentral lists this ribosomal RNA (134 nucleotides) under Neogale vison (American mink). Lineage: Eukaryota; Metazoa; Chordata; Mammalia; Carnivora; Mustelidae. The record is from RNAcentral.